RNAcentral lists this ribosomal RNA (497 nucleotides) under uncultured bacterium. Its description in RNAcentral is "partial 16S ribosomal RNA". It matches the Rfam family "Bacterial small subunit ribosomal RNA", at positions 28 to 507 of the family's 1533-position model. The record is from RNAcentral.
GAUGAACGCUGGCGGCGUGCCUAAUACAUGCAAGUCGAGCGAACAGACGAGGAGCUUGCUCCUCUCACGUUAGCGGCGGACGGGUGAGUAACACGUGUAUAACCUACCUAUAAGACUGGGAUAACUUCGGGAAACCGGAUCUAAUACCGUAUAAGAUAUUGCACCGCAUGGUUCAAUAGUGAGAGACGGUUUUGCUGGCACUUAUAGAUGGAUCCGCGCCGCAUUAGCUAGUUGGUAAGGUAACGGCUUACCAAGGCUACGAUGCGUAGCCGACCUGAGAGAGUGAUCGGCCACACUGGAACUUGGACACGGUCCAGACUACUACGGGAGGGCGCAGUCGCGAAUCUUCCGCAGUGGGCGAGAGCCUGACGGAGCAACGCCGCGUGAGUGAUGGAGGUCUUCCGAUCGUGAUACUCUGUUAUGAGGGGAGAACAACUGUGUAAGUAACUGUGCACGUCUUGACGGUAACGGAUCAGAAAGCCCCGGCUAACUACGUG